UGAAUGAGGAACGGGCCGGAGGGAUCGUAUUACAGGAAAAAAAAAUAUCCGCGUUGUUGACAAAAGCGAGUAGCCUCUUUUCGUUGUAUCAAAACAAAGUCGGCCAAAGUCCGAUCGAUCCUUGUAUAAGCGAGAGAAAAAAAAAAAAAAAAGCGACACUCUUUCAGAAAUAAAAAAUUCCUAAAAAAUGGAUGUACGGUGCGAAUGAAUCUUUCGAAAGCUUCGAUGAUAAAUUGUUACUGUUCUUUCGUGUUUUUUUUUUUUUUUAUUUUUCUAUUUUGUAAAAAAUGCCUGCCCAUUCACGCUUCUCAGCGAGGGCACUCGGACGGAUCGUCGGUCGCGUUUGAUUGAAAAAAGAAAAAGAAAAGAAAGAAAAGAAAGAUAAGAAAGAAAGAGAGAAGAAAUCAUCACAUCGAUUUUCACAUCUCUUUCUUCUCUCGAAAGAGAACACUUUUCUUUACUCGCGUGAAAAUUACUUAUCGUACUCGAAAGAAGGGAGAGAGGAGGGGGAAAAAAAAAAAGAAAAGGAAAAGAGAGAAAAACGCGACGCGACGAUCCGUCGAACGGUCCGAGCAUUUUGAUAAUCCGCGAUUAAUCCAUUAUUAUUAUUAUUAUCGCCAUUAUUAUUGCUAUUACUAUUAUUAUUAUUAUUAUCAUUAUUAUUACUAUUAUCGCUACUAUUAUCGCUAUUAAUUAUUAAUAAUUAGUUGAUUAUUAAUUAAAAGAUUGCUAAAGGGCAAUUGGAGGCGUAUUUUUUAGAGAGAAACGAGAGAAAAUAUCGAAUCGUUCGAUUCGAGUUUGUUCGAAUCGUCCAAAAGUCAUAUAUAUAUAUAUAUACGUACAUAUAUAUAUAUAUAUAUAUAUAUAUAAAAUUAUAUAUCAUCUUCCCCGAUCGCAUAUCCAUCCCGAUCGAACUCCGGUUUCCCCUCGCGAUCGUAGGCGACUGUUAUCGACUUUCGAUGCUCUCAGCACCGCGAAAAUGUCCCUCGGUCGACGAAUUUCACGCGUUAUUUUAUUAUUUCGCACGUAUUAUUCGCGUAUAUAUACAUAACGUGUAUAACAAUUUCGUAUCGAGAAAAAGAUUCUUCGUCUUUCGGCUUCUUACUUUUUUUUUUUUUUUUUUUCUAACAAAAUUACAAUAGACGUAAUAGAGCAAUUCGAAUUGCGGGAAAAUUGUGGGGAAAAAAGAGCAAAAGAAAAAAAAAAGGGAAGGAAACGAGCGGAUCCGUUGACCGGUGGGGCCGAAUUUAUAAUUAAUAGAGCCUUCUGUUUUCACCGCAGCAUAUCCAUUUUCCUCGUGAUAGCGUUCCUAAUUGAUUAAUUCGCGACACCUUACACGCAAAUCCCCCCUUCCUCCCCUCCCAAAUCCUCUCCAGCACGUCUCCAUACCUAGAGCCACCUUCCCCUCCCCACCCCACUCCUUGGAACCUGUGUAUCCUCUUCCACCAACUGCACACCCCCUCACGUUUCCAAUCCACAGCCACCACCUUAGUCCCUCCACUAGCAAACCGAUUAACCAAUGUGAGUGAAUGUGUCAACACGUGCUACAAGGGAAAUAAAGCGGAUUUCAAAGAGGAUACAUAAAACGGCGGAAAAAAGUGCAAAAGUUGGGGAAAAAAAAAAAAAAAAAAAAAUGAAAAAGAAAAAGAAAAAAUCCAAUAGGGAAAGCGUCGAGCAAACACACUACGACCCGGAGGAAGAAAAAAAAUCGAUCGAUCGGAAAAACGUACACACACACACAUUCGUCGGACUGUGUAGGGACAUUUUGCAUCAAUUGUGUAAACACGAGACAGAGGGAGAAAGUGUGCGUGUGUGUGAGAGAAAGAAAACAUUUAAAAAAAAAAAAAACGUCGAGAGAGAAUGCGCGUGUGGAAGAGCGAGAGCGAGAGGUAAGAAGAGAGACAAAAAAAAAAAAAAGAAAAAAGCGCGAGCGAGAAGAAUAAGACGACGGAAGCUAAAAAAGGAUAAAAAGGAAAAAA
This 1979-nucleotide long non-coding RNA is filed under the name Apis dorsata (giant honeybee). RNAcentral describes it as "uncharacterized LOC116186370". Lineage: Eukaryota; Metazoa; Arthropoda; Insecta; Hymenoptera; Apidae. The record is from RNAcentral.